Molecule: long non-coding RNA, 498 nt
Filed under: Oryctolagus cuniculus (rabbit)
Lineage: Eukaryota; Metazoa; Chordata; Mammalia; Lagomorpha; Leporidae
Description: lncRNA (ENSOCUG00000036376.1)
Source: RNAcentral
GUCAGAAGCAAGGCGGAAGAUAAAAUAAAGAAAAAAUAUCCAAACAAGAAAAUGACAAAAGCAAGAUAAAAAAACCUAUUAAAAUGAAUUGACGGAAUCCACACCUUCCUCCUGAUCACUGUUACUACCAAGUUCUUGAACUUCAGGAGUCUCAAAAUACUGACACCAUCCCCACCACUCUUCUGCUGGAUCAUCUUUGAGGUCCUUGGAGCAAAAGAUGAAAUGAGUGGCAACUUCCUUAGUUGCUCCUUGCCAGUCAGCUUCAUAGAACCAGCCUUGCAUUCAUUGUUAUUGGCUCCAUAUUUGAAGAAUGUCCUGCCCAACUCAUAACAAAUGCCAUCAAUUCAAGAGGACCUUCUCUACAGUGCGCACUAUUGGGCUUGUGUACUGACUGCACAGGAAGAAAUAAUCAACCUAGUUUAUUCUGAACCCAGUCAGUUCCUGACCACAUUCCGUAAAUGCAGGCAUUUGGAAGAAAACAAACUGAUCCACAGGUAA